Molecule: ribosomal RNA, 393 nt
Filed under: Triticum aestivum (bread wheat)
Lineage: Eukaryota; Viridiplantae; Streptophyta; Magnoliopsida; Poales; Poaceae
Description: partial small subunit ribosomal RNA
Source: RNAcentral
AUGAUCCCGGAGCUGACAAAAAUUGCAGCGAUGCUAGAUGAUGUUCAGCUUCAACAUGACCAGCAGGAUGAAAUUAGCUGGCAGCUCUCGCCUGAUUGUGCAUAUUCCGCAUGCUCGGCGUACUUGAUUCAGUUUGAGGGAUCAACCCCCCUGGAGGGAUACCAACUCAUUUGGUCGGCCUGGGCUCCGGGGCAAUGUUGUUGUUUUUUCAUUUGGACUGCCAUCUUAGGGAAGAUCCUGACAGCUGAUGCCUCUCUGCUGCGUAGGCUCGCCGUUAGUCGACGGCUCGACGCAGCCACGCGGCUGCUGGGUAGGACAGGACCAUUUUUGGUAGCGAUCCUUCCUUCCUACUUGUUCAUUGUACAAUGUUGUUCCUUAGUUGAUAAAUUUUAG